Molecule: long non-coding RNA, 441 nt
Filed under: Olea europaea (common olive)
Lineage: Eukaryota; Viridiplantae; Streptophyta; Magnoliopsida; Lamiales; Oleaceae
Description: long non-coding RNA (OEUR_LNC010803)
Source: RNAcentral
AAAAAUUCUAUGUAUUUGAUUGCGAAAAUCUCACAGUCGCCCCUGCAAAUGAACAAAUAUGUGUUAGUUCGGAUUACGUACGAACUUAUUACUAAAUUUUAAAAAAAUAUAUUACAAAGACUUACGAUAUAAACUGUCUCGCCGUCGUCGUAUCCCGCACGAUGGCUAGUUUGUCAUCCACAAUCAAGCCCGCAUAUCUAGCUAUUAUAGGAACGAUCACAGUCACCGGCUCUAAGAUCUGCUCGAGCUGUCCCUGUGUCAGACAUGAAUGAUCGGUGUCGUAUACAUAUAUCGUCGAAUCAGGGAACACGAUCUCCAGUGCAAUGCAGUGUUGAUUCGCAAUAACUGGAAUGUACAAAUGCGUACAACCCUCCCACGGCUUUUUCCCAACACUCGGUAAUAGCCCGAUGAUCCACCCGAGUAUAUAUGCGGGAAGCACGU